This is a long non-coding RNA of Macadamia integrifolia, 975 nucleotides long. RefSeq lists it as uncharacterized. The transcript has 2 exons. Lineage: Eukaryota; Viridiplantae; Streptophyta; Magnoliopsida; Proteales; Proteaceae. The record is from RefSeq and is a predicted model, not a curated record.
UUGCCCCUUUUCUCUCUUGCAAAAUGCAUAUCUAACGAUGCUUGUCGUGCCGAAUUGCUCUGCCUCGCCUUCUCUUGCCAUCGGAUGCUGUUUAGUUCCUUCGCCGAAAACCCUAACAACCUCGUACGAUUAGGUUAAUCCCUCUCUCUCUCUCUCUCUCACAUGCCAGAAACCAGGGAACCUCUGAACCUUUCAGCCUUUCCUCUCUCUCAAUCUCGACCGUCUCUCAAACAUAACUCACUUCCUCCUGGCCAACAUGCAUCUAUUUACCCCUUCUAGCAUACCAAAACUUAUUUUUGGUUCAAAGCGUCUUACAUCUCACCGUAGUCCCCGCACGAAGCCCAUGCACCCCUUUCUCUCACUCUCUCACUCACUCACUCUCUGUCUCUCUUCACCCAGGCAACUCCUGCCCCACAUCCCUGCAUCUUCUGCCUCAAGAAUCCAGAAAAUGAUAAUGGGAGAAGGCACCACAAAAGAGACACCGCCCAAACCGCUGGUAUCCUACAAGCUCCUCUGAAGGCGGGACACCACUCCUUGGCAGUCCAUUCAAAGAUCACUCCUCAAUGUUUACAACCAGGUGCCGUAUUUGGACAUCUGCUAGGGCACCGACCACCAUGGAGGUGAACCCCUCUUGCAAAACAGUCUCGAUCACCGAUGCCUGCAUCUUCUUUGAUAAAAUCCAACCCUCUCUCUCUCUCUCUCUCUCUCUCUCUCUCUUUCUUACAAUGCUAGAUAGGUCCAUAUUCUACUUCGUUUUAUCUUUUUGUGUUUCUCUAUUAGAAAGUCUUGUUGUAGAACAUGUUGAUAUAGGUUUGCUAUUUCUGUUAAUACUCUAUUCCAUACUUUGAAGAUGGUAGUCACGUAAAAUUGUACGUGUGUGCAUCUCUAGAAGAGCAAGGUUGGAUAUGAACGCUUCGAUUUCAGUCUAUAUUUGGAUCCAUUUCUAAUACAUUGUGUCUCUCAUUUUGCUACUUA